CAAUGGGGGAAACCCUGAUGCAGCGACGCCGCGUGAAGGAAGAAGUAUUUCCGUAUGUAAACUUCUAUCAGCAGGGNAAGAAAAUGACGGUACCUGCACUAAGAAGCCCCGGCUAACUACGUGCCAGCAGCCGCGGUAAUACGUAGGGGGCAAGCGUUAUCCGGAUUUACUGGGUGUAAAGGGAGCGUANACGGUGUGGCAAGUCUGAUGUGAAAGGCAUGGGCUCAACCUGUGGACUGCAUUGGAAACUGUCAUACUUGAGUGCCGGAGGGGUAAGCGGAAUUCCUAGUGUAGCGGUGAAAUGCGUAGAUAUUAGGAGGAACACCAGUGGCGAAGGCGGCUUACUGGACGGUAACUGACGUUGAGGCUCGAAAGCGUGGGGAGCAAACAGGAUUAGAUACCCUGGUAGUCCAAGGGCGAAUUC
RNAcentral lists this ribosomal RNA (424 nucleotides) under uncultured bacterium. RNAcentral describes it as "SSU rRNA". It matches the Rfam family "Bacterial small subunit ribosomal RNA", at positions 369 to 808 of the family's 1533-position model. The record is from RNAcentral.